This 442-nucleotide ribosomal RNA is filed under the name uncultured bacterium. RNAcentral's name for it is "partial 16S ribosomal RNA". It matches the Rfam family "Bacterial small subunit ribosomal RNA", at positions 338 to 795 of the family's 1533-position model. The record is from RNAcentral.
CCUACGGGAGGCAGCAGUGGGGAAUAUUGGGCAAUGGGCGAAAGCCUGACCCAGCAACGCCGCGUGAAGGAAGGAGGCUUUCGGGUUGUAAACUUCUUUUGACAGGGAAGAGCAGAAGACGGUACCUGUCGAAUAAGCCACGGCUAACUACGUGCCAGCAGCCGCGGUAAUACGUAGGUGGCAAGCGUUGUCCGGAUUUACUGGGUGUAAAGGGCGUGUAGCCGGGCUGACAAGUCAGAUGUGAAAUCCGGGGGCUCAACCCCCGAACUGCGUUUGGAACUGUUGGUCUUGAGUAUCGGAGAGGCAGGUGGAAUUCCUGGUGUAGCGGUGGAAUGCGUAGAGAUUAGGAGGAACACCAGUGGCGAAGGCGGGCUGCUGGGCGACAACUGACGGUGAGGCGCGAAAGCGUGGGGAGCGAACAGGAUUAGAUACCCGGGUAGUC